CUUACUAUUCUCACAGGUGCUUUACCGAGGUAGCCCCCUUCCUCGAAUGUUAUUGAAAGCACUGUUAUGGUUAUAUUUGCUUUAUUUUUUCUAUUUAUGGCAUGGUUACAUAUCAUUGGCUUCAAUUGCACAAUAAUGGUAUCAAUUAUUUUCUGACAAACAGUUAAGGAUAAGCCAUAAGGAUGUUUCUGUAUACAGGUACGUUAAAGUGGGGUGGUCUAUUUAUUCCAAUCUCAAUAUGUUUGUUAUCAGCCGUCUUGCCAUGCGACAUGACACAUGUGCUUUGGUAGUUAUCUCAGCCCACUCAUCCAGUUGUGUGGUCCCUGAAUAAUCUGCUCUUUGAUUGAAGUCAAGUUCUUGCUGUUCCUAAGCCAAUUGGAAGUGCAAGAAUCUGACGUCUUCCAAAGUUACAGGGGGAAAAGCAGCCCAGGAGUGACAGAUUUCUCCUCUCAGAUAUGUUACACAGACAGAAACAAGGUUGUGGGUGGAUCAACUGUCUGAAAUGUUUCCAGAUUCCCCCAAACACCAGAUAGAAAUUGUUGUUCAGAGAAACUGCUGUUUUGCAUGAAUUGCUGGAUAAGUUGCAGGAGGGAGAUGUUUCUAAAGUCCUUCACAACCAUCCUUCCUCUGAGUCCUUCUGGUCAGCGAUAAAUGCCUCUCACUGGCCAAUAACCAAGAAGAUAACAGAUAAGAAUGUGGCACAUCUUGUACAAAACCUACUGGUGACUGAAAUAAUUUCGUUCAGGAAGUUUGAGAUAGACUCAUUCGCUGAAGGUCUCAAGAAUUUGGAGUUCCUAGAUGCCACAAAGAACAACAAGGAAGUCUGCUUUAAGCUGCUUUGUAAUUCUAUUGAGCAAACCCUCACUCCUGAUGAAUUUAAUAAUCUCUUUGAUGCCAGUGUACAAAGGCCCUCUGACUUUGCCCAGCUACAUUCCUAUGACUGGUUCAUGGAUUAUGUAAUGCUGGUGAGGAGAAACUCAUAUGUCUGCUGCAGUUCAUUACUGGCUUUCAAUCAAUUCCACCUUAUGGUCUCCCUCACAACAUUGUGCUAAGAUAUAUUCCUGAUGAUGAUGAGAAAGCUUCCAUGCCAUCAGCAACAGUACACCUGGCGAUGUUACAGCUCCCAACAAUUCAUUCCUGAGAAUGAUUUCAAUCAAAGCUUGGAUAUUGCCUUAAAGUUUGAAAGCCAGAGGUUUCCUACUAUUUAGCACCUUUGUAACUCAAAGCUAAGGAAAUACCAGUGAACUGCAGUUUUCUGAAAACACUUUAAGUUGGCUGUAUUGAUUUGUAGUUGUUCUCUUGUUUGUUUUGAUGCAUUACAUAUAACUUAUUAAACUUUCAUAAAGAAAUAACAAUUGUUAGUCCCAGACUGAGGGACUGAAGGCUGGUUUUAACUAGCGAUGGAGUCGUAGUUGGAGUUGUAUGUAAUCAGAUGCGUAGAGGAAUAUGAUCCAGUGAAAAUGAAACGGUCGUACGAACGUACAUCCAAAUUUUUUCGGCUUGAUGGGUUACUACUAUUUUGUAUAAUUAUGGGGCUACGCUCUGCGAGCUCCGCUAACAUGUUUGCUAGGAAAAUGUAACUGACCCAAGCUCUUUUAUUUUCUUGAGUUUCAGAAUAAUUUUUUUCUCAAAUUACAGGUUUUCAUUUCGUUUCGUUUCGUUUCGCAAAUUACAGUAAGCCGAAUUUUGGGGUGAUCGGGGUGUUCGGAGUGAUUGAAUAGCGUUUUGCUUCCAGUGGAUUCACUCGGUUGGCGUUACUCACAGAUUUGUUUUGGAAGGGAUUAUGUAGAGGGUUAGGCAGAUGAACUAAAACCGGGCUAAAUUAACCGAGCUCAGCCCAAAAAAAUUCUCUCGAUGCAAAAGAACAACCACUUGAACGGGGUAAAUUUGUCAAAUUUUUAUUGUCAAAGUAUUAUUCAAAACACGUCCAGAUCUUUCUAAAGUCGAGAGCGCGGCUGUUUAUUCCCAUGCAAAUCCCUGAUUCACCCAUUGCGCAACGGAAAAAUAUUUGCAUAAUCACAGAGGCUCACCGUGUGAGCUUGGGUUUUCAGUAAUUGGACGUCAAAAUUGUUAAAUAUAGAUAUAUAUAAAUGUAUGUUAACGUUAUCUUCUUUAAACCCGA
Molecule: non-coding RNA, 2122 nt
Organism: Pocillopora verrucosa
Lineage: Eukaryota; Metazoa; Cnidaria; Anthozoa; Scleractinia; Pocilloporidae
Source: RefSeq, a predicted model, not a curated record